Molecule: ribosomal RNA, 265 nt
Filed under: uncultured bacterium
Lineage: Bacteria
Description: partial 16S ribosomal RNA
Rfam family: Bacterial small subunit ribosomal RNA
Source: RNAcentral
GUCCUAGCCGUAAACGAUGAACACUAGGCGUAGUCGGUAUCGACCCCGGCUGUGCCGUAGCCAACGCAUUAAGUGUUCCGCCUGGGGAGUACGGCCGCAAGGCUAAAACUCAAAGGAAUUGACGGGGGCCCGCACAAGCAGCGGAGCGUGUGGUUUAAUUCGUCGGUACGCGAAGAACCUUACCAGGGCUUGACAUGUGGCGGAAAACGGCGGAAACGUCGUCCUCCCGAAAGGGACCGUCAUGCAGGUGUUGCAUGGCUGUCGU